Molecule: transfer RNA, 73 nt
Filed under: Loxodonta africana (African savanna elephant)
Lineage: Eukaryota; Metazoa; Chordata; Mammalia; Proboscidea; Elephantidae
Rfam family: tRNA
About the family: Transfer RNA (tRNA) molecules are approximately 80 nucleotides in length. Their secondary structure includes four short double-helical elements and three loops (D, anti-codon, and T loops).
Source: Rfam by way of RNAcentral
GCCUGAGUAGCACAAAUGGUUGAUUGCUCAGCUACUAACUGAAAGGUUGGUGGUUCGAAUCCAUCCAGAGGUG